UGGGGAAUUUUGGACAAUGGGGGAAACCCUGAUCCAGCCAUCCCGCGUGUGCGAUGAAGGCCUUCGGGUUGUAAAGCACUUUUGGCAGGAAAGAAACGUCGCGGGUUAAUACCCCGCGGAACUGACGGUACCUGCAGAAUAAGCACCGGCUAACUACGUGCCAGCAGCCGCGGUAAUACGUAGGGUGCAAGCGUUAAUCGGAAUUACUGGGCGUAAAGCGUGCGCAGGCGGUUCGGAAAGAAAGAUGUGAAAUCCCAGAGCUUAACUUUGGAACUGCAUUUUUAACUACCGGGCUAGAGUGUGUCAGAGGGAGGUGGAAUUCCGCGUGUAGCAGUGAAAUGCGUAGAUAUGCGGAGGAACACCGAUGGCGAAGGCAGCCUCCUGGGAUAACACUGACGCUCAUGCACGAAAGCGUGGGGAGCAAACAGGAUUAGAUACCCUGGUAGUCCACGCCCUAAACGAUGUCAACUAGCUGUUGGGGUCUUCGGACCUUGGUAGCGCAGCUAACGCGUGAAGUUGACCGCCUGGGGAGUACGGUCGC
Molecule: ribosomal RNA, 541 nt
Filed under: uncultured bacterium
Lineage: Bacteria
Description: partial 16S ribosomal RNA
Rfam family: Bacterial small subunit ribosomal RNA
Source: RNAcentral